This 1006-nucleotide ribosomal RNA is filed under the name uncultured bacterium. Its description in RNAcentral is "bacterial SSU rRNA". It matches the Rfam family "Bacterial small subunit ribosomal RNA", at positions 356 to 1376 of the family's 1533-position model. The record is from RNAcentral.
GGGGGAUAUUGCACAAUGGGGGAAACCCUGAUGCAGCAACGCCGCGUGAAGGAAGACGGUUUUCGGAUUGUAAACUUCUAUCAAUAGGGACGAAGGAAGUGACGGUACCCAAGGAGGAAGCCCCGGCUAACUACGUGCCAGCAGCCGCGGUAAUACGUAGGGGGCGAGCGUUGUCCGGAAUGACUGGGCGUAAAGGGCGUGUAGGCGGCCGAUUAAGUGUGGAGUGAAAGUCCUGCUUUUAAGGUGGGAAUUGCUUUGCAGACUGGUUGGCUUGAGUGCGGAAGAGGUAAGUGGAAUUCCCAGUGUAGCGGUGAAAUGCGUAGAGAUUGGGAGGAACACCAGUGGCGAAGGCGACUUACUGGGCCGUAACUGACGCUGAGGCGCGAAAGCGUGGGGAGCGAACAGGAUUAGAUACCCUGGUAGUCCACGCUGUAAACGAUGAAUGCUAGGUGUUGCGGGUAUCGACCCCUGCAGUGCCGGAGUAAACGCAAUAAGCAUUCCGCCUGGGGAGUACGGCCGCAAGGUUGAAACUCAAAGGAAUUGACGGGGGCCCGCACAAGCAGCGGAGCAUGUUGUUUAAUUCGAAGCAACGCGAAGAACCUUACCAUGUCUUGACAUCGAGGAAAAGGUCUAGAGAUAGGCUGUGCCUUCGGGCAUCCGAAGACAGGUGGUGCAUGGUUGUCGUCAGCUCGUGUCGUGAGAUGUUGGGUUAAGUCCCGCAACGAGCGCAACCCUUAUGGUCAGUUACUAACGGGUAAAGCCGAGGACUCUGACAAGACUGCCGGGGACAACUCGGAGGAAGGUGGGGACGACGUCAAAUCAUCAUGCCCCUUAUGACAUGGGCUACAAACGUGCUACAAUGGCGGCUACAAAGAGGAGCGAGACUGUAAAGUUGAGCGGAUCUCAAAAAAGCCGUCUCAGUUCGGAUUGUGGGCUGCAACCCGCCCACAUGAAGUUGGAGUUGCUAGUAAUCGCGGAUCAGCAUGCCGCGGUGAAUACGUUCCCG